Non-coding RNA from Salmo salar (Atlantic salmon), 54 nucleotides. The record is from Rfam. Lineage: Eukaryota; Metazoa; Chordata; Actinopteri; Salmoniformes; Salmonidae.
UAUGCUUCACUCUGGAAGUCGCUCUGGAUAAGAGCAUCUGCUAAAUGACUUAAA